RNAcentral lists this ribosomal RNA (406 nucleotides) under uncultured bacterium. RNAcentral's name for it is "partial 16S ribosomal RNA". It matches the Rfam family "Bacterial small subunit ribosomal RNA", at positions 30 to 526 of the family's 1533-position model. The record is from RNAcentral.
AUUGAACGCUGGCGGCAGGCCUAACACAUGCAAGUCGAACGAGUGGCGGACGGGUGAGUAAUGUCUGGGAAACUGCCUGACGGAGGGGGAUAACUACUGGAAACGGUAGCUAAUACCGCAUACCAUCGGAUGUGCCCAGCUGGGAUUAGCUAGUAGGUGGGGUAACGGCUCACCUAGGCGACGAUCCCUAGCUGGUCUGAGAGGAUGACCAGCCACACUGGAACUGAGACACGGUCCAGACUCCUACGGGAGGCAGCAGUGGGGAAUAUUGCGCAAUGGACGCAAGCCUGAUCGAGCCAUGCCGCGUGAAUGAAGAAGGCCUUCGGGUUGUAAAGUACUGUCAGCGGGGAGGCGUUACCCGCAGAAGAAGCACCGGCUAACUCCGUGCCAGCAGCCGCGGUAAUAC